Molecule: long non-coding RNA, 168 nt
Organism: Thalassophryne amazonica
Lineage: Eukaryota; Metazoa; Chordata; Actinopteri; Batrachoidiformes; Batrachoididae
Exons: 3
Source: RefSeq, a predicted model, not a curated record
GAAAUCUUGGAUGCAUCAGGAUUUCAGCAGUUCGUUCAUGGUUCAACACAUAUCAGUGGUAAUACUCUGGAUUUGGUUCUUGCACGUGGCCUUGCUGUCACAAAUAUCAACAUCCUGCCUCUUGCAUCAGCGGUCUCUGACCACUCGCUUAUUAGGUUUACAAUUACG